UAAAUGUAAAAGAAAUAAAUUUUUGUUUUGCCUAGAUCCUUUCCACAAAGCAGGCACAAUCUUUUCCAGCAGCUUGGAAUAAAGAGAGACUCUCAGAAGAGACAUAAAUUCCAUAAGUAGAACUGGCUUCUCACCCUUUCUGUUUUGGAUCACCCGGAUGGAGAAACGUGCCGAACUGUUACGAUGGUGCAGCAGCCCCUACUGAGCGCAGGAGGAAAAAAGGAUUUGAAACUGCUUGAGACUAAAAUGAUAAAAGAAAUCAAUGAAGUAAGACACAGACCACCUGAAAAUCUUCAGUGGAAGCACAAGUUGAGACAUGAUGUCAGAGAGGCAUUCUCUUCACGGAGAAGGCAUAUUAAGCUAUGCUAGAGCUGACUGCUCUUCCAAGCACUGUUGCUAGAUGCUUAGAAGAAUAAAAUCUUCCCUUCUGGUUGACCUUAAAAGCUGUCUUAUGCCAGGCCUUAAAUGUGAAAAUGUGAACAUAAAACAUUUUUUCAUUGAUCCCAUAAAAAAAUUUUCAACAUGU
Molecule: long non-coding RNA, 526 nt
Filed under: Chinchilla lanigera (long-tailed chinchilla)
Lineage: Eukaryota; Metazoa; Chordata; Mammalia; Rodentia; Chinchillidae
Description: lncRNA (ENSCLAG00000025264.1)
Source: RNAcentral